AUUGAACGCUGGCGGCAUGCCUUACACAUGCAAGUCGAACGGUAACGGGCCUUCGGGUGCCGACGAGUGGCGAACGGGUGCGUAAUACAUCGGAACGUGCCCGAUCGUGGGGGAUAACGAGGCGAAAGCUUUGCUAAUACCGCAUACGAUCUACGGAUGAAAGCAGGGGACCGCAAGGCCUUGCGCGGACGGAGCGGCCGAUGGCAGAUUAGGUAGUUGGUGGGAUAAAAGCUUACCAAGCCGACGAUCUGUAGCUGGUCUGAGAGGAUGAUCAGCCACACUGGGACUGAGACACGGCCCAGACUCCUACGGGAGGCAGCAGUGGGGAAUUUUGGACAAUGGGCGCAAGCCUGAUCCAGCCAUGCCGCGUGCAGGAUGAAGGCCUUCGGGUUGUAAACUGCUUUUGUACGGAACGAAAAGCCUUCUUUUAAUACAGGAGGGUCAUGACGGUACCGUAAGAGUAAGCACCGGCUAACUACGUG
This 482-nucleotide ribosomal RNA is filed under the name uncultured bacterium. RNAcentral's name for it is "partial 16S ribosomal RNA". It matches the Rfam family "Bacterial small subunit ribosomal RNA", at positions 30 to 507 of the family's 1533-position model. The record is from RNAcentral.